Molecule: long non-coding RNA, 451 nt
Organism: Gallus gallus (chicken)
Lineage: Eukaryota; Metazoa; Chordata; Aves; Galliformes; Phasianidae
Source: Ensembl
AAGAACUACUAGAAAAGAUAACAGGGUCAGAUCUGACCUUGCUGCGGCCCCUCGACACAUUUCUGUUUCACACACUUUCAUUCUGGGGUUGCCUGUACAGCCCAUCCAUAACUUUCUCUUUUCCAGCACAGCCUUUCACAGCUGCCAGCACAGAGGAAUUCCAAAGCAGGGCCGGUGCCUCUGUGUGCAUUUCAAGAGCUUUCCUCUACAUCAUUUGACCAACUCUUCAAGAGACCACGCAGUAAUGACAAAAACAUGCAAUUAUCUUUCAUCACCUGAUUUGCCCAUUUUACUGAGAUCAUUGAGAGUGGCUCCAUGUUCAGUUUUGGUCUACUUGUCAAAGAUUCAGCAAGAAAUCCAUGAGAUAAUGGUGGUUACUACAUUCAGAAAAUUAAGAAGUUGUAUCCUCCUUUUCUCCAGAAAUAUCCGCCUAUUCUCCAGAAUCAUAAUG